Brachypodium distachyon (stiff brome) is the source of this 2035-nucleotide long non-coding RNA. RefSeq lists it as uncharacterized. The transcript is spliced from 6 exons. The record is from RefSeq and is a predicted model, not a curated record. NCBI's taxonomy places the organism in Eukaryota, Viridiplantae, Streptophyta, Magnoliopsida, Poales, Poaceae.
UGCUGAGUAAUCGGGGAUUCGGGGCUUCGGGGGCAUUCUGGAAGGAUUGAUUCUGGAACACAUAUCUUUGCGCUCUGCCGCCGCCUCAUGGCAGGCCAUGGCGACGGUGACGGUGCCGCCGCACCCUUUGCUGAUGCUCUGGCUUCGGUGUUGCUGGUGCGGUUCCGGCGCAGAUGUGAGGCAGGAGGAAUGCAGAAACGCCGAGAGCCCUUAUGAAGAGGAGGGCUGCGGCAGCGGCGCAGGAGCACAACAUCGGUGAGGCUGCCGGGAGGAAGAGGCAGCUGUAUGGCUUCUCCGCAUCGCUGGUCGUCGCACCGUGGGUCGCCCGUCUCCUCAACUCGCUCAUCGGCCACAUCGACGGUCAACAUGGUGGCCAGGUGUCCAAGCCUUCCAUCUGGUAGUGUCUAAGGGAAUCUUCACUUCUUGAGUGCCACGAAUCCAUGGAUGACCUAUAAUUGUCAUUGUUAGUCUUGCAGUGUCAUAUGCAAGCUGAACAAUAGUUAUAAAUCAAGAAAAUAAACGGUACUUACAGAAGGUUUGUGCAUCUGUCAUCCUCUUGCGGUAAUCCUUAUUAAGGAGCAUUUGUCUCUACUCUUUGCCUCUUUCUGGACUCGGCCUUGGUUGUGCUUCAUUCCCGGCCGGUGGCAACAGUAAGGUAUUGGUUUCAUUCCCGUGGCUGAUAUAUGCUGUCAAAUAGCUUACUCUUGCAUUUGUUUGGCCUCUCCUCAAAGUCUGUUACUGAUAUAGCCUUUUAUUUAGCAAGCUUAUGCUGCUCUUUGCAUCCAUUGAUAUGUACAUGACUCCGAGAACAUGUUCGUUUUAAUUUUCUUUCGCUUAUAAGGGGCCUUGGUAUUAGCCUCUUACUUCUGGGCAUGAUUAUUUGUUGCAUAGGGUCUCCUCCUCUUUGGUGGAAUGAUUGAUGCUAUUAACGUGUCCAACAGUGAUGACUGAUGACAUGUACUUCUAGCAACAACUGUUCCUAAUAGUGAAUAUUGAUUAAAUCGAAACUAAAAUUCUAAAGUUGUACUGUUGAAGUGUCUUGAAGUACUGUUUUAAACGAAAACUGAACUGAAUUUUUGGUUUUAUGAAAUCUAAUUCCAUGGUUAGCACUUGGUACUACACAUUUUUCAAAAUAAACUGAUUUUUUUUGUUAUAACUGACUUCCCUCCCUGACUCCCCAAGUCCAUCUCCUAGGCAAGCUGGACCGAGCCCUCAAUGCUCUGGUGGCCGAGUGACGAGCACUCGAACAGAUGCCGGCCUGAAAUGGUGAAGAUGCCAAAGAUGACACAUCUGAUGCUUGCGUGGGUCCAAGCGAGCCAAUGAGGUUGCGGUGACUCCCGACUCUGACGACGACGAGAUCGAUGCACUUCACACGCAGCGGGACAUAAUCCCCCUCGAUGUCAAUGAUGGUCAGUGCAGAGCAGCAGCGAGGGAGUCAAAGGAUGAUGAUUUGGUUAUUCCAUACUUCUAUAGGAUGAGGCUGUAAUGUUUAAUGGUAGAUGGUAGAGAGAUUAAAAAGGAGAAGAAGAUUGAAUGUCUCGGCCUUCGGCAUUCAGGAAAAGAUGCAACCAAGAGAAUGGAAAUUCCCUUGAAAGAAUAAGGUUGAAUCAAAGACGUGGUUGGUCAGUUGCGAGAUUGUUGCCAAUGGAACAACCUAAAAACUCAAAGAUGAUGGUUUUUGUCCCAUGAGGUGACUGCAAUUGGAAAUAAGUUUCUGACAGGGAAUGGGUGCUUACAAGUUCACUAUGUCAUUAAUGGUGUUUGUGGCCUUCUGGAGAUAGAAUUGCCACCCCAAGGUGCUCCACAUUCUUUAGAUAAUAGCUUUUCCGUGCUGUUCGUAUGGAAUACUGAUACUUGCUAUUCGUAUUGAGAAAUAAACUCUUGAAUGUGUGGUCACACUCAGAUCUUAUGGUUGCAAAAUUGUACGUGCUAGAUGGAAUUUGUUAGUAGAGGUAUCAAGGCUCAUACAUUGCACUGGAGAUGAGAAAGAAUUCAGCCAUGUUUGCUGUGAGCUAGACAAAACCUUUUUGCGACU